This is a regulatory RNA element of 96 nucleotides. It matches the Rfam family "PyrR binding site". Rfam says of the family: This family represents the PyrR binding site and terminator structure. The record is from Rfam.
AUAACCUUUUAAAUAUAGUCCAGAGAGGCUAGCAAGGGAUGUGUUAUAUAAGGUGUUUACACGACUUCUUGCUGCCUUGCAAGAAGUCUUUUUUAU